Molecule: transfer RNA, 72 nt
Filed under: Dipodomys ordii (Ord's kangaroo rat)
Lineage: Eukaryota; Metazoa; Chordata; Mammalia; Rodentia; Heteromyidae
Rfam family: tRNA
About the family: Transfer RNA (tRNA) molecules are approximately 80 nucleotides in length.
Source: Rfam by way of RNAcentral
GUGAAGGAAGCUUAGUGGUAAAGUGCUUGCCUCACAUGCAUGAGGCUCUGGGUUCAAUUCCUGAGCACCACA